GAGACAACAACUGUGAAACAUGAACCUGUUUACUGUAUGUGUCCUAAUAGCAAUAUCAGUUGCAGAUUCCAAUGGUCAGACACUGACUGAAUCUGAGUCAGUGGUUCUUAAACCUGGAAACUCUCACAAACUGACCUGCACAUACUCCGGGUUCAGCAGUGAUCCUUCCAUGGCUUGGAUCAGACAACCUCAUGGACAAGGGCUGGAAUGGUUGGCUCGAAUGCAUCCAACUUCCAGUAGUUAUACAUACUAUGCCCAGUCCAUUCAGGGAAGGUUCACCAUCUCCAGAGACAACAGCAAGAAGCAGAUUUACCUGCAGAUGAACGGCCUGAAAACUGAAGACUCAGCAGUGUACUACUGUGCUCUAGAGCCACAGUGAGAUAUACAGCUGAAGUGCAGUACAAAAACACGUCAUAUAUUUACAGAUCAGCUGAUAUGAGUAGUUCAGAUAGGACCUAUCCCUUCUGUAACAUGUUAUCACAUAAAAGCCAU
Molecule: non-coding RNA, 492 nt
Organism: Alosa sapidissima (American shad)
Lineage: Eukaryota; Metazoa; Chordata; Actinopteri; Clupeiformes; Clupeidae
Source: the annotation of a RefSeq genome assembly